Molecule: long non-coding RNA, 199 nt
Filed under: Lathyrus oleraceus (garden pea)
Lineage: Eukaryota; Viridiplantae; Streptophyta; Magnoliopsida; Fabales; Fabaceae
Description: Pisum sativum (pea) long non-coding RNA (PSAT_LNC038110)
Source: RNAcentral
GACCAUACUUUAACUUGAGGAAUCAACAAAAUCCUAGCUGAGGAAUCAUGCUUGAUGCUCUUGAUGAAAAGACCUACCUUGCACAAUAAACUUAAAGAAAACAAGACUUAUUUUUUCUAUUUUGAUUAGUGGUUAGAUAAGCAAUGAACAUAUAAAUACAAAGGCAAAAUACCAACAAAGAGGUGUUUGAUGAUCCCUG